GGAGGUGGCAAGCGUUGUUCGGAAUUACUGGGCGUAAAGGGCGCGUAGGCGGGGAGGCAAGUCGGGUGUGAAAUCCCUCGGCUCAACCGAGGAACGGCGCCCGAAACUGCUUCUCUUGAGUCCCGGAGAGGAAGGUGGAAUUCCCGGUGUAGCGGUGAAAUGUGUAGAGAUCGGGAGGAACACCGGUGGCGAAGGCGGCCUUCUGGACGGUGACUGACGCUGAGGCGCGAAAGCGUGGGGAGCAAACGGGAUUAGAUACCCCGGUAGUCCACGCUGUAAACGAUGGGUGCUAGGUGUGGGGGGUAUCGACCCCCCCCGUGCCGAAGCUAACGCAUUAAGCACCCCGCCUGGGGAGUACGGCCGCAAGGUUGAA
This 373-nucleotide ribosomal RNA is filed under the name uncultured bacterium. RNAcentral's name for it is "bacterial SSU rRNA". It matches the Rfam family "Bacterial small subunit ribosomal RNA", at positions 527 to 898 of the family's 1533-position model. The record is from RNAcentral.